CUAGCACCACAUGGAACGCACUGCAAGACUGGAAAAUCUCUCUCCAGAGACAUUCAGGUCAAGAUCCAAAUGCAGGAAUUACACUGAUUAGACAGGAAAUCCAACACAGGACAGAAACAAAAUGAGUGAGUGCCAUCAGUCAAGUCAGGAGAGAAAAUACUUCUGAAGUCAUUUGUCCGGGAUAUUGGAGAUUCUCCCAGCUGUGCAGAGCCAUUUCAGGUCUACACAAAGCACACGCCAGCAAAUUAACUUUUAGUGUAUUCAGUGAAUUGCUGUGGGAGACCUCUAAUAGAAACAGUGCAACAGAGGAAGGAGGGAAACUAGGGAACUACCAGGCAUGACACAAGCAUGGAAGUCCCAUAACAUCAGACAGAAGGAACCAGGGGAAGUCCCAAGGUUUUGCUGACUUCACUGCCUGGAAUAAUAAGCCAGAUGGAAGGUCUGAUUUUAAAGGAUGAGAGCAAUGCGUGAAAGUUAACAGUGGAGACAAAGAACCAUGGCAGCGAUGGGAGAUAACUCAUGGGGUGAUGUUCAAAGGAGGAAAAGUUGUCAGAAUCUGUACUAUAGGGGAAUGCAGAAUGUAAUGAAGACAGAAGGAUAUCCAAGCGCAACACAAGAAUGAGUGAAAUAAAGUGAAGAAAAAUCUCCCUCUGAAAGAACAGUG
Long non-coding RNA from Vidua macroura (Pin-tailed whydah), 664 nucleotides. RefSeq lists it as uncharacterized. NCBI's taxonomy places the organism in Eukaryota, Metazoa, Chordata, Aves, Passeriformes, Viduidae. The record is from RefSeq and is a predicted model, not a curated record. The transcript has 3 exons.